GCUUGUCUCAAAGAUUAAGCCAUGCAUGUCUCAGUGUAAACACAAGUAUGGUGAAACUGCGAAUGGCUCAUUAGAACAGUCAUAAUUUCUUUGAUGGUGGAUUCUCGCACAAAUGGAUAACUGUGCGAAACGCAGAGCUAAUACAUGCCGGAGUCGUCCUUCUGGACGGCUCACCAUGCAUUUAUGAGCUUCGCAAAGCCAAUGCUGCGUUCUCUUUCGAGAGGGCGUUAGCUUUGGGUGAAUCCUCGUAACUGAGCGAAUCGCAUGCACAGCAAUAUGUGGCGAUGCAUCAUUCUAAUGUCUGAUUCAUCAGCCUUCGUUGGUAGUGUAGUGGACUACCAAGGCGUUCACGAAUAAGGGGAAUGAGGGUUCGACUCCGGAGAGGGAGCCUGAGAAAUGGCUACCACAUCCAAGGAAGGCAGCAGG
Molecule: ribosomal RNA, 426 nt
Filed under: uncultured fungus
Lineage: Eukaryota; Fungi
Description: partial small subunit ribosomal RNA
Rfam family: Eukaryotic small subunit ribosomal RNA
Source: RNAcentral